AUGGGUGCAGGCAGCCAGCUGUUGCUGAAAACUGUCACUCUUCCAAUUUUGAGUGCUCUGAAUAGUCAAAGGUUUGUGCGAAAUGAAGCCACAUUGCAACUCCCUGACUUUUUCACUUGGGGCAGUUUCCAAAGCAUAGACCACAACAUCCCCUGAGUCUAAUGAAGAGGAAGACAAAUAAACAGAAGGCACAUGAUAAAAUGAAAGCUCCAUGAGAAUGGCAGACAAGCCAAAGUUUAACCAAGAAAGGAUGGACACGGUCACCAAGUUGGCGCUUGUCUUGAAAGUAUCUCAAGAAUGCGCGUAAAACAAAAGCAAUACCUUCAUCUCACGGGCAGCAGCAGAGGAAGAAGGCUGUGUGGAUGCUUCUUUUAUGGUAGAGAGACUCUGAAGCAGA
Long non-coding RNA from Tympanuchus pallidicinctus (lesser prairie-chicken), 397 nucleotides. RefSeq lists it as uncharacterized. NCBI's taxonomy places the organism in Eukaryota, Metazoa, Chordata, Aves, Galliformes, Phasianidae. The transcript is spliced from 3 exons. The record is from RefSeq and is a predicted model, not a curated record.